UUACGGACAUAUCACUUUGGAAUACCGGUUCACGUACGAUCAGCGGAGUUUAGAAACCUCGAGCCUGAUCAGUACGUAGAUGGGUGACCGCCUGGAAAUAUCAGGUGCUGUAAG
Acanthosepion pharaonis is the source of this 114-nucleotide non-coding RNA. NCBI's taxonomy places the organism in Eukaryota, Metazoa, Mollusca, Cephalopoda, Sepiida, Sepiidae. The record is from the annotation of a GenBank genome assembly.